GCCGGUUAGGGUGAGAGCUUUAAGGAUACUGCCAGUGACAAAAUGGAGGAAGGCGGGGACGACGUCAAGUCAUCAUGGCCCUUACGACCAGGGCUACACACGUGCUACAAUGGUCGGUACAAAGGGUUGCUACCUAGCGAUAGGAUGCUAAUCUCAAAAAGCCGAUCGUAGUCCGGAUUGGAGUCUGCAACUCGACUCCAUGAAGUCGGAAUCGCUAGUAAUCGCGGAUCAGAAUGCCGCGGUGAAUACGUUCCCGGGCCUUGUACACACCGCCCGUCACACCAUGGGAAUUUGUUGCACCCAGAAGUGGGAUAGUCUUAACUGCCAAAGA
Molecule: ribosomal RNA, 331 nt
Filed under: Acinetobacter septicus
Lineage: Bacteria; Pseudomonadati; Pseudomonadota; Gammaproteobacteria; Moraxellales; Moraxellaceae
Description: bacterial SSU rRNA
Rfam family: Bacterial small subunit ribosomal RNA
Source: RNAcentral